AACCUGCCCCCGGCUCUGGGAUAACUCCAAGAAAUUGGGGCUAAUACCGGAUGGUCACCGCGCACCGCAUGGUGGGUGGUGGAAAGGGUUUCCGGCUGGGGAUGGGCCCGCGGCCUAUCAGCUUGUUGGUGGGGUAGUGGCCUACCAAGGCGACGACGGGUAGCCGGCCUGAGAGGGUGACCGGCCACACUGGGACUGAGACACGGCCCAGACUCCUACGGGAGGCAGCAGUGGGGAAUAUUGCGCAAUGGGCGGAAGCCUGACGCAGCGACGCCGCGUGGGGGAUGACGGCCUUCGGGUUGUAAACCUCUUUCAGCAGGGACGAAGCGCAAGUGACGGUACCUGCAGAAGAAGCACCGGCCAACUACGUGCCAGCAGCCGCGGUAAUACGUAGGGUGCAAGCGUUGUCCGGAAUUAUUGGGCGUAAAGAGCUCGUAGGCGGUUCGUCGCGUCGGCUGUGAAAACCCGGAGCUCAACUCCGGGCCUGCAGUCGAUACGGGCGGACUUGAGUUCGGCAGGGGAGACUGGAAUUCCUGGUGUAGCGGUGAAAUGCGCAGAUAUCAGGAGGAACACCGGUGGCGAAGGCGGGUCUCUGGGCCGAAACUGACGCU
RNAcentral lists this ribosomal RNA (611 nucleotides) under Geodermatophilus sp. I12A-02606. Its description in RNAcentral is "bacterial SSU rRNA". It matches the Rfam family "Bacterial small subunit ribosomal RNA", at positions 123 to 747 of the family's 1533-position model. Lineage: Bacteria; Bacillati; Actinomycetota; Actinomycetes; Geodermatophilales; Geodermatophilaceae. The record is from RNAcentral.